GGGAAUGUGGCUUAGUGGUAGAGUGCUUGCCUAGCAUGCAUGAAGCCAUGGGUUCAAUUCCUCAGUAUUCUCA
Dipodomys ordii (Ord's kangaroo rat) is the source of this 73-nucleotide non-coding RNA. The record is from Rfam. Lineage: Eukaryota; Metazoa; Chordata; Mammalia; Rodentia; Heteromyidae.